Sceloporus undulatus (fence lizard) is the source of this 156-nucleotide small nucleolar RNA. Lineage: Eukaryota; Metazoa; Chordata; Lepidosauria; Squamata; Phrynosomatidae. The record is from RefSeq and is a predicted model, not a curated record.
ACUGCACACUGUUAAAGCUCAGAGAUGAGACCAGUUUCUGGCCGUUGAACUCUUGAGUGUCGGAAGUGUGCUAUAGUAAAUGUUGGCAGGAUUUUCGCUAACACCAGGAGAGUUCUGCUCGAUGACUGGAGUUUGAUAGUAUUCACUGCCACAUUU